UACGAAGGGUGCAAGCGUUAAUCGGAAUUACUGGGCGUAAAGCGUGCGCAGGCGGUUUUGUAAGCCAGAUGUGAAAUCCCCGGGCUUAACCUGGGAAUGGCAUUUGGGACUGCAAGGCUCGAGUGCGGCAGAGGAGACUGGAAUUCCUGGUGUAGCAGUGAAAUGCGUAGAUAUCAGGAGGAACACCGAUGGCGAAGGCAGGUCUCUGGGCUGACACUGACGCUGAGGUGCGAAAGCGUGGGGAGCAAACAGG
Molecule: ribosomal RNA, 253 nt
Filed under: uncultured bacterium
Lineage: Bacteria
Description: partial 16S ribosomal RNA
Rfam family: Bacterial small subunit ribosomal RNA
Source: RNAcentral